Molecule: ribosomal RNA, 649 nt
Filed under: Escherichia coli
Lineage: Bacteria; Pseudomonadati; Pseudomonadota; Gammaproteobacteria; Enterobacterales; Enterobacteriaceae
Description: bacterial SSU rRNA
Rfam family: Bacterial small subunit ribosomal RNA
Source: RNAcentral
AAAUUGAAGAGUUUGAUCAUGGCUCAGAUUGAACGCUGGCGGCAGGCCUAACACAUGCAAGUCGAACGGUAACAGGAAACAGCUUGCUGUUUCGCUGACGAGUGGCGGACGGGUGAGUAAUGUCUGGGAAACUGCCUGAUGGAGGGGGAUAACUACUGGAAACGGUAGCUAAUACCGCAUAACGUCGCAAGACCAAAGAGGGGGACCUUCGGGCCUCUUGCCAUCGGAUGUGCCCAGAUGGGAUUAGCUUGUUGGUGGGGUAACGGCUCACCAAGGCGACGAUCCCUAGCUGGUCUGAGAGGAUGACCAGCCACACUGGAACUGAGACACGGUUCAGACUCCUACGGGAGGCAGCAGUGGGGAAUAUUGCACAAUGGGCGCAAGCCUGAUGCAGCCAUGCCGCGUGUAUGAAGAAGGCCUUCGGGUUGUAAAGUACUUUCAGCGGGGAGGAAGGGAGUAAAGUUAAUACCUUUGCUCAUUGACGUUACCCGCAGAAGAAGCACCGGCUAACUCCGUGCCAGCAGCCGCGGUAAUACGGAGGGUGCAAGCGUUAAUCGGAAUUACUGGGCGUAAAGCGCACGCAGGCGGUUUGUUAAGUCAGAUGUGAAAUCCCCGGGCUCAACCUGGGAACUGCAUCUGAUACUGGCAA